RNAcentral lists this long non-coding RNA (1288 nucleotides) under Marmota monax (woodchuck). Lineage: Eukaryota; Metazoa; Chordata; Mammalia; Rodentia; Sciuridae. The record is from RNAcentral.
GCGGGCCAGCAGCAACGGUGACCGCCACAAUCCCGGGAAGCCCGCAGCCGCCGGAGUCGCUGGAGCCGCCAGAUCGCGGGAGCUGGGGCUGGAGCCGCGCGUCGGGGGCAGUCGCGCCGGCCCCCGGGGAGGGGAGCAGAGGAGGGGGCUGAGCCCCUUGAGCCGGCCUGGAGCAGAGGUUCGCCGCCUGCCUCCCCACGUGGCCAGGCUCUUACCUGAGCCGCCGCGGACCUCAGAGGCUGGGGACUGGCAGCCAGGAGAAGAACAGAACAAGACCCCACCCGGGGCCUCCUAGCCCUCGCAGUCCCAGCCCCCACCUCCUCUCAGGUCCACUGCCAGCGCGGACCUCGGUUUUCCCUGGCUUAGACCACUAGAGCUAGGCGCGGUGCCCCGGGCUAACCCCGCGGCUUGGCGCCCAGCUCGCCGGCCUUGUCUACCUCCAGCGGGGACCUGGCCGACGCCCACCCGCCUCCACGCCGCCCACCUAUUGUUCCCGCGGCCAGAGCUUUCGAAGGAACUCGCCGCGCACUUCAGCCCGCCUCAGGUGGCAGCACCUCUGGACUCUGGGGUCUUGCCAGAGGCUGUGCCUUUGGCUCUCCUACCCUGAUGCCCACCCUCCACAGGCCAAGGUACGCCCAAAGUAAAGGGCUUUUCUAAACUAGGGUAUUAACUACCAUAGGCCCGUACAGGGCCGUUGAGGUCCUGCUCUGAACAUAGACUGAGGCUACCGCAAGGAAGGAACUAACCCAAGUACAGCAAGCCCAAGAUAGCAUCUGAAGAAGGUAGGGCACCGAUUAGUGUCCCGAUCCCAUAGAUGAAGAAACCAUGGGAAUUCCUGACCUAGGGCUCCAGGGCCAGGGCCAGGCCCUGCAGAAAUGCAGGAAAAAUAAGCCUCCUUUGUCAGAUUCUAAAGCAAAGAAACAUAAGUAAGAAGAAAAUUUCACUCUCUUGCAGAGUUUUUACUGGAAGUCCAGACAUAUGCAAAGACCUCCUAAAUACAGGCUCCUUUUCCACUUAGCCCUGAACAUGUCUAAGGUGGCAGCCAUGAGUGUUCCCAUUUUGCAGGUGGGAAGCCUAUCCUAGGUCUCUUCUCCAGGCAGCACAAAGCCAAUGUGAAGCCCAACGAUUCUGAUUCUUAACUAUGGUCCUGGCCUCCAGUAUAAGAUAUUAAGGGCAGAUUGGAAGUUGGCAGCUGAGAACAUAAGUCAGAGAAGGGAGGCCUACCAAAGACUUCCAUAUACUAAGAGGGCAAAAUUAAAGGAGCUAAGACCCUAAUGCAGGACUUAGC